Molecule: non-coding RNA, 4673 nt
Organism: Triticum urartu
Lineage: Eukaryota; Viridiplantae; Streptophyta; Magnoliopsida; Poales; Poaceae
Source: RefSeq, a predicted model, not a curated record
CGUUGGAUCUCGGGCUCGGUCGUCGUGGGCCGUCGGAUAUUUACCGGAUCGUUGUGAGCCGUUAGAUAAAAUUCAGUGCGCCCCGGUCGUGCCACCGCGCGUAAUUCCAGCGCCCCCACGAGGGCAUUUUCGUCAUUUCACCUGGUGGGAGAACUGCCCAAUAGCGCUGAGGUGAGUCCGUGGACAGCGAGCACCGGAUCGUUCCCCUCCCCCUCCCGCUCGCUCGCUCUCCUCUCCUCCCCGCCCCCUCCCUUGAAACCCUAGCCGCCGCUACCCAUCGCGCCCUACAGCGCCGCCGCUCUCGCCACGCUGUCGCUGCUCUCCUCUCCCUCUCUCCGACCCGAGCCGCCGCCCUCCUCUGCGUCUCCGACCUCCUCCCCAUGGGAUUGCAACAGAGCCCCCCAGCAAUGACGACGAGCAGCAGCGGAGGGAGGACGAGGAGCACGACGGCGGCGGCGGGGAGCAGCAGCAGCAGGCCAAGGCGGCGCUGCCCUUCUCCGCCAUGUGCGUGCGGAUCUCCCGCAACACCUACCCCAACCUCCGCGCCCUCAUCAACGCCUCCCACGUCGGUCUCACCGACGCCCCACAUGUCAAGAUCUCCGAGGGCGACUUCGGACACAUCCUUGACGACGUGCCCCACCUUGCUGACUACUACGUUCCGGUGAGCAGCCCCCCUCCCCCUAACCUGCUCCUCCUCACUCGACCGCGAGUCAUGGUUCGCUGUGACCUGCGGGUGCCAUCGUUUCAGCUCGUGGUGAUUGGUUUUGUGCGGUGCAGCUUUAGCUAAGCGACUGUCAGUACGAGCGAAAUGAUCCGACGCUGAUUUGGCUGGAAACGUGACCGCGAUUUGUGCGGGGUUUGGUCGAUUUGGGAUUUCUGUUGUUGAGCCACGAAUACAGAGUGCUUAAUGUCAUCUCAAUUUUUCUUACGUUCCAGCUCCACUAUUAGUGUUGUUAAGCUGCUGAGAAUAGAAAGCAAUGUAGCAGGAAUACAGAAGUUGAGGUUUUCAUUGCUUUGGUCAUACAGUUUUUUAAACUAUAUACUAGAAGAACAGGGUACUCAUUCCUGCCUUCUAAGAAACUAUGUAAUUGACUGCUCAUGUUGGUUGUAAUACAUUGCUAGACACAGAGUUGUACAUUUUUCAGUUAGGUUUUUGCAAAUCAAACUAUAUUCAACAAGGCAUCUCUCCUUUUGAAACACGAACACUCAACCAGGGUACGCUACGCCCCUCUCAUGUUCCUUUCAUUUUUUCCUUAGUUGGGUUCAGAGAUCAUUGCACAAUAAAACUGAUCGAUAACAUUUUCAUUGUGGUUCUCUAAUUUUUUGAACUUGUUAGAAGUUUUCUAAAAUCCAAUUGUUUGUUAUUUUUGGUGCUUUUCAGGUGACCCAUUGCAGUUCAGAGAUGGUUUAUAUGAAUUGUUUAUGAUCUAGGCCGCUACCAAACGCCUCUGGAGAGCAGUAUACUAUUUCUGCAUUUACCAACACAUAUGGAGUAUUGGUUCUCCUGAUCCUAACUUCACAUUAGAUGGCCACUCAAAAGGCGUGAACCGUGUUGAUUACUUCACCGGUGGUGAUCGACCAUUUUUUAUUACUGGAUCUGAUGAUCAGACUGCAAAGGUUUGAGAUUACCAAACCAAGAGAUGUGUUCAAACACUUGAAGGACAUGCACACAAUGUGUCUGCUGUCUGUUUCCAUCUAGAACUACCUAUUAUAAUUACUGGCUCAGAGGAUGGCACAGUUCGCUUGUGGCACUCUACAACCUACAGGCUUGAGAACACUCUUCAUUAUGGUCUUGAGCGAGUUUGGGCUUUAGGAUACAUGAAGGGGUCAAGAAGGAUUGUGAUUGGAUAUGAUUUAGGGAAAAUUAUGAUAAAAAUUGGCCGUGAAGUUCCAGUUGCUAGCAUGGACAACAGUGAAAAAAUCCUAUGGGCAAAACAUAACGAAAUCCAAACUGUUAGUAUCAAGACUGUUGGUGCAGGCAAUGAGGUUCUUCUUCUUUGCCAUGUUAAAUGUGCAGGAUUGUCUGUCGUUAGUUUAGCUGCUACGUCGGAUCUGAUGCUGUUUUCGCCGAUAUAUAGAUUUGUUUGUUGCCUCUUGUUUCACGUUCUUCCGGUCGAUCGCUUGCUCGAUCUGUGCCUGGACAUCAUCUCCAUGUCGCGGCUUCGUGAACGGAUCUUCAGCAAUUGGGAAGGAUCGUCCUGUACUAUCUAUCAUGGUUAUUAGCUAGCAAGAGUGAUGCCACAAGUGGAUCUGCCCAGUAAAUUUGUUAAUUACUUCCUUGCAAGAAUGAGAAAGUGGAGCAGCUAUCUGAGGAGGUUGAUUCAUUGAAGGAAACCCUCGACAAGCACUUAUUGCGCCAAUGAGAGCGAAUUUGGGAAGCUAAGGAAAGGGCGGAGCUGUUUGAGAGAGCUAAUGGUGGGCCACCGGAUGUCCUUCAAAUAUUUGACGACGAAGCCUAGGCAAUGCAAUCAGGGAUGUGGUUAGGGUUUGUUAAUUUUAGCUAGGUUCUUUGUUGCUGAUUGAUGGCCAGUGGCGCUCUUCUGCUUGGAACAAACACUAUAUGUAGUUGCUGCUCCUCUAGGUUGGGUCGUUGCUACUGCUUUGGCUGUAGCUCUGUGCAGGUUUCUAGGUAUCUGCUGCAAGGCUUGGAUUGACGUAUGUUGGGAUGAUCUCAUAUGGAUAAAUGGUAGAUCAAGGGCUUUUAAUCACUGAAGUAGUAUCCAUACGUAUGACUGGUGAUGCAAAUAAUGGAUGUGGAAACUAUAUGAAUGUCAAGUGGAGAGUUAAAUGAUUUAUCAAUGUUGAUUUUACUAGAAUUAUUCUUGAAUAUCAGUGAUAGGAUCUUGAGACGGCCCUCAUGGGAGUGGUCGCCGCCCCCGGUCAACUAUGGUCACCUCCGUUAGCACCCACCGGCAGGAUCCCCCUCCCCCUCGCCUCCCCCUUAUCCACCAUUUCAUGUCCACCACUGGGAGGAGCGGCGGUUGCCGCUGGCGCAUAUGCAAAGCCUGGAGACAUCGCCAUCGACGGGAGGAGAAGGACUGUCUUCGUCGCGUUUGUGCACUUCCGUGAAGAGGACAACUCGAGGUGAGGAGAACCGCUUGGCAGGAGGAGCUCGAGCCGAGGCGAGUCGCCUCUGAUUCUGCAACGCGCUCGAUGUCUGCCUCUUCCCCCACAAGCACACACGAGAGGCCAGGCCUUGGACUAGGUAGAGCAGGAGCAGUUCCAUCUCCCUCACCAAUGCAUCCCCGCCCUCAUCUUGAUCAAUAAUGAACUGGAGAAUGUAGUUGAGCACAAAGCAAAAAGGGUGAUGUUUGCCCAUAGAUGCCUGAUGAUGAUCAUUUCCUGGUGAGUUUGUGUUGCUCAUAGAGAACUUGAAAUAGUCAUGGAUGGACCUGUGAAUGAAACAAUAACAGGCAUGCAUUCGUUAUGCUCUUGGUAGAUAUUUUCUAAUUAUGCUUGUGCCUGUCAAUUUUUUAUUAAUGUUUAUUUUGUAUUGCUCUACCUACAUUUUUUUGUUAAAUGCCGCGUCUGUCGAUAUUGUUUCAUUUGCACACAACUAGCUAUCGUCGGGUACAACACUAAUGUCGCUAUUUAGAUCCUAAACUAUGCCCUUUAUUAUUAACAUACCCUUCUGAAUUUUCUUGCAGUUGUAGGUUUGCUAACAGUUCUUGGGUCGUCUUGCAUGAUUUUGCUUUUAUACAUAUAUAUUUAUUUGAACUGUGGCUUUUCUGAUGCACCUGUGCUAUUGUUUCCUCUAUUGAGAUGCUGAAUGUUUUUCCUUUUACUAUACAUCUGUAUCUACUUAAUGGCUGGAUGUUUUCUUACCCAUUUUGUUUUCUUCUUUGAGAAGGCUAUACGUGCUCUUGGAAUUAUGCAAGCUAUGAAAAAGUGUUAUAUUAUUUCAUCUCUCUGCCGCCUCUCGACAUUUCCAUUAUGAGAUAUAUUGAGUAAUACAGAUAUAUUGUCUAUUGCCGGGGUUAGUUAAAACGGGGCCAUGUGGAGUCCGCCAUGGGUUAAUAAUGUUGAGGUCUUUUGCAUAUCUCAUUUGAGAAAAGACCAUUAUUUGAAUGCUGAUUUAAUGUGCCUUUUAUGCUUUGUUCUUCUAGAAGAGUACAACGCUGGGUGGAUAUUCUUCUACCUUAGCAGAUGAGAUCGAUUGUAUUUCAAGAUGGGACACUGACGGGAAAAGAAGCUUUGCCCUCCGAACAUGAAGCCUAGGCUCUAGACUGGGUAUCUCUUAAAGUAAUCAUACUUUUGAUUUGUCAAAGACGGGAAGAAGUAUCCCUAGGAGGAAGACAGGAUCCUGGGUGGAAAAUUGGUGAAAGUGUGUACGACCAUGGGAAAUGGAUGCCUCCUGCUACCAGCUGCGCCCUGAGGUGUGUUUCUUUGCAGGUAUCUGAUUAGGUCAAAAGCGACAGGAACUUUAUGUACGCUGAGUACUCUCUUUCGCCUGGCAUAGUGAAUGAGAACAAAUCAAAAUUAGUGGACCAAGUUAUAUGUGCUAUCCUUUUACUGGUGUACAGAGAACAUAUUCCAGCAUGUAUUUGGGUGUAUGAACUGUUGUAUCGAUGAUGUCGAGUCGCUGUGCGUACAUGUCAUGGCUUCAUAUGCAUAUAUAAAUUGUUGUAUCCACUUUGUACCUUUGUAUCAUGUGUAACAUAUAUUCUGAUUUA